Molecule: ribosomal RNA, 456 nt
Filed under: uncultured bacterium
Lineage: Bacteria
Description: bacterial SSU rRNA
Rfam family: Bacterial small subunit ribosomal RNA
Source: RNAcentral
CGGUAGUUUGAUCAUGGCUACAGAACGAACGCUGGCGGCAUGCCUAACACAUGCAAGUCGAACGAGACCUUCGGGUCUAGUGGCGCACGGGUGCGUAACGCGUGGGAACCUGCCUUUAGGUUCGGAAUAACAGUGAGAAAUUACUGCUAAUACCGGAUGAUGUCUUCGGACCAAAGAUUUAUCGCCUUUAGAUGGGCCCGCGUUGGAUUAGCUAGUUGGUGGGGUAAAGGCCUACCAAGGCGACGAUCCAUAGCUGGUCUGAGAGGAUGAUCAGCCACACUGGGACUGAGACACGGCCCAGACUCCUACGGGAGGCAGCAGUGGGGAAUCUUGCGCAAUGGGCGAAAGCCUGACGCAGCCAUGCCGCGUGAAUGAUGAAGGUCUUAGGAUUGUAAAAUUCUUUCACCGGGGACGAUAAUGACGGUACCCGGAGAAGAAGCCCCGGCUAACUUCGUG